AGAGUUUGAUCUGGCACAGAGCGAACGCUGGCGGCAGGCGUAAUACAUGCAAGUCGAGCGCCGUAGCAAUACGGAGCGGCAGACGGGAGAGUAACACGUGGGAACGUACCCUUUCAGUUCGGAACAACCCAGGGAAACUUGGGCUAAUACCGGAUACGUCCGUAAGGAGAAAGAUUUAUCGCUGAAGGAUCGGCCCGCGUCUGAUUAGCUUGUUGGUGAGGUAACGGCACACCAAGGCGACGAUCAGUAGCUGGUCUGAGAGGAUGAUCAGCCUCACUGGGACUGAGACACGGCCCAGACUCCUACGGGAGGCAGCAGUAGGGAAUAUUGGACAAUGGGCGCAAGCCUGAUCCAGCCAUGCCGCGUGGGUGAUGAAGGCCCUAGGGUCGUAAAGCCCUUUCGGCGAGGAAGAUAAUGACGGUACCCGCAGAAGAAGCCCCGGCUAACUUCGUGCCAGCAGCCGCGGUAAUACGAAGGGGGCUAGCGUUGCUCGGAAUCACUGGGCGUAAAGCGCACGUAGGCGGCUUUUUAAGUCAGGGGUGAAAUCCUGGAGCUCAACUCCAGAACUGCCCUUGAUACUGAGAGGCUCGAGUCCGGGAGAGGUGAGUGGAACUGCGAGUGUAGAGGUGAAAUUCGUAGAUAUUCGCAAGAACACCAGUGGCGAAGGCGGCUCACUGGCCCGGUACUGACGCUG
Molecule: ribosomal RNA, 694 nt
Filed under: uncultured bacterium
Lineage: Bacteria
Description: bacterial SSU rRNA
Rfam family: Bacterial small subunit ribosomal RNA
Source: RNAcentral